GACUUAAAAUCCGUUGGCUUUUUAGACCGUGAGGGUUCAAGUCCCUCUACCCCCAUAAACCCCC
This 64-nucleotide transfer RNA is filed under the name Chiloscyphus obvolutus. RNAcentral describes it as "Clasmatocolea obvoluta partial tRNA-Leu". The stretch from base 1 to 55 matches the Rfam family "tRNA", at positions 29 to 71 of the family's 71-position model. Rfam says of the family: Transfer RNA (tRNA) molecules are approximately 80 nucleotides in length. Their secondary structure includes four short double-helical elements and three loops (D, anti-codon, and T loops). Further hydrogen bonds mediate the characteristic L-shaped molecular structure. tRNAs have two regions of fundamental functional importance: the anti-codon, which is responsible for specific mRNA codon recognition, and the 3' end, to which the tRNAs corresponding amino acid is attached (by aminoacyl-tRNA synthetases). tRNAs cope with the degeneracy of the genetic code in two manners: having more than one tRNA (with a specific anti-codon) for a particular amino acid; and 'wobble' base-pairing, i.e. permitting non-standard base-pairing at the 3rd anti-codon position. Lineage: Eukaryota; Viridiplantae; Streptophyta; Jungermanniopsida; Jungermanniales; Lophocoleaceae. The record is from RNAcentral.